RNAcentral lists this ribosomal RNA (438 nucleotides) under uncultured bacterium. Its description in RNAcentral is "partial 16S ribosomal RNA". It matches the Rfam family "Bacterial small subunit ribosomal RNA", at positions 339 to 795 of the family's 1533-position model. The record is from RNAcentral.
CUACGGGCGGCACCAGUGAGGAAUAUUGCACAAUGGGGGGAACCCUGAUGCAGCAACGCCGCGUGGAGGAUGACGCAUUUCGGUGUGUAAACUCCUUUUAUAUGUCAAGAAAUGACGGUAGCAUAUGAAUAAGCACCGGCUAACUCCGUGCCAGCAGCCGCGGUAAUACGGAGGGUGCAAGCGUUACUCGGAAUCACUGGGCGUAAAGGACGCGUAGGCGGGUUGGAAAGUCAGGUGUGAAAUCCUACAGCUUAACUGUAGAACUGCACUUGAAACUUCUAAUCUAGAGUAUGGGAGGGGGAGAUGGAAUUAGUGGUGUAGGGGUAAAAUCCGUAGAUAUCACUAGGAAUACCUAAAGCGAAGGCGAUCUCCUGGAACAUUACUGACGCUAAGGCGUGAAAGCGUGGGGAGCAAACAGAAUUAGAUACCCCGGUAGUC